Molecule: ribosomal RNA, 1359 nt
Filed under: uncultured bacterium
Lineage: Bacteria
Description: bacterial SSU rRNA
Rfam family: Bacterial small subunit ribosomal RNA
Source: RNAcentral
GAUGAACGCUAGCUACAGGCUUAACACAUGCAAGUCGAGGGGCAGCAUUUUAGUUUGCUUGCAAACUGAAGAUGGCGACCGGCGCACGGGUGAGUAACACGUAUCCAACCUGCCGAUAACUCCGGGAUAGCCUUUCGAAAGAAAGAUUAAUACCGGAUAGUAUACGAAUAUCGCAUGAUAUUUUUAUUAAAGAAUUUCGGUUAUCGAUGGGGAUGCGUUCCAUUAGUUUGUUGGCGGGGUAACGGCCCACCAAGACUACGAUGGAUAGGGGUUCUGAGAGGAAGGUCCCCCACAUUGGAACUGAGACACGGUCCAAACUCCUACGGGAGGCAGCAGUGAGGAAUAUUGGUCAAUGGGCGCGAGCCUGAACCAGCCAAGUAGCGUGAAGGAUGAAGGCUCUAUGGGUCGUAAACUUCUUUUAUAUGGGAAUAAAGUUUUCCACGUGUGGAAUUUUGUAUGUACCAUAUGAAUAAGGAUCGGCUAACUCCGUGCCAGCAGCCGCGGUAAUACGGAGGAUCCGAGCGUUAUCCGGAUUUAUUGGGUUUAAAGGGAGCGUAGGUGGAUUGUUAAGUCAGUUGUGAAAGUUUGCGGCUCAACCGUAAAAUUGCAGUUGAAACUGGCAGUCUUGAGUACAGUAGAGGUGGGCGGAAUUCGUGGUGUAGCGGUGAAAUGCUUAGAUAUCACGAAGAACUCCGAUUGCGAAGGCAGCUCACUAGACUGUCACUGACACUGAUGCUCGAAAGUGUGGGUAUCAAACAGGAUUAGAUACCCUGGUAGUCCACACAGUAAACGAUGAAUACUCGCUGUUUGCGAUAUACAGUAAGCGGCCAAGCGAAAGCAUUAAGUAUUCCACCUGGGGAGUACGCCGGCAACGGUGAAACUCAAAGGAAUUGACGGGGGCCCGCACAAGCGGAGGAACAUGUGGUUUAAUUCGAUGAUACGCGAGGAACCUUACCCGGGCUUAAACUGCAACAGAAUAUAUCGGAAACAGUAUAGCCGUAAGGCUGUUGUGAAGGUGCUGCAUGGUUGUCGUCAGCUCGUGCCGUGAGGUGUCGGCUUAAGUGCCAUAACGAGCGCAACCCUUAUCCUUAGUUACUAACAGGUUAUGCUGAGGACUCUAGAGAGACUGCCGUCGUAAGAUGUGAGGAAGGUGGGGAUGACGUCAAAUCAGCACGGCCCUUACGUCCGGGGCUACACACGUGUUACAAUGGGGGGUACAGAAGGCGGCUACCUGGUGACAGGAUGCUAAUCCCAAAAACCUCUCUCAGUUCGGAUCGAAGUCUGCAACCCGACUUCGUGAAGCUGGAUUCGCUAGUAAUCGCGCAUCAGCCAUGGCGCGGUGAAUACGUUCCCGGGCCU